GCAAAAUCCUUCAACCCUUCUACACAGACAGAUGUCGCUUUUCUGCCGGUCCCUGCAGUACACCUGUCUGCCCUGGAAAGUACAUUUCUCAGCUGCAGCCCCGCGAGGCCAAGAGCUUGAAGCUGGGUCUUAUGGUUGGGGCUGCAGGUGCUGGGCCUAAGGAGCAUGAAGAGGUGCCCAAGGUUGGGGGAGCGGUCCGAGGUUUGGAGGGCAGACCUCUUGAAGGCAGACGGCAGCCACCAACCACAUCCUGGCUCCCGCACAGACACACCCCCGGGGGGUCGGUGCCGUAGCCCCCAGCCCCUCCUGGGGUAGCCAGCAGCGCCCGCCGGCCGCCAGCCACAGGAGAAAGUAAACACCCCAAGUGUCCGGGAACAAAGGCAAGUUGUCUUCCUACGGUGCCGGAGCCGUGUGCCUCUUCUGAAGAAUAAGAGCUAUUAUUAUUCUUUAUGUCUUAUCCUUUUUUUUUUUUUUUUCAGCCAAGUUUCCUUCUAAGGGAAAUAAACACCAAAGGUAGGAUUCCAAGGAAAUGACUCACGGCGGCUGGCAGGGCUCUGGCGGGGCUGGCCCGGGCCCCCGCGCUCCAGCCCGCAGCAGAUGCCGGCCCGGCCCUCCCUCUCUCGCCGGCCAAGCAGGCUGGAAGCCCGUGGCUGCGGAAGCGCCCUGCGCCCGUGGGACCUGGCGGCGAGGACGCCUCUUGCCUGCUUCUGCGGCCGCAGCCGGGCACUCGGAAAGUUGCUAGGGCCGAAGAGGCGGGAGGGGAAGAAGGGAGGAGAGAAGCGGAGGCGUGGACCAGGCGGGCAGCAGCCUCAGCCCGCCGGGGAGUGAUCCUCCAACUGUGAAAAACCAAACCUCUGGCUGCCUGACUCCCUAGGAAUCAAGAAGCCGCACAGACUGAAAAUCAAGGGAGGAAGGAACAAGAUCAAGGAUGAGGAUUAGCAUCUGCAAAUUGAACUCUAUCUAAUUUGCAUGUUUAUUUCUUAGAAUUGUAAUUAAAUUUGUGUAAUAAAUGUUUCCAUUUCAUUUGUACACUUAAAACUUGGGUGACUGACAUGCAGUUAAGUGAAAUUCCUUUUUUUUUUUUUAAGCAAAUGUAGUUUAUUCAAUAAAGCAGCAAACCAAUAUUAAACAUAAUUAGAAUAAUCUGUUUUAAAGGUGUUUUUGUUGAACUUUGUACAUUACAGACUCUCAGAGGUUUUUAAGGGUAUUAGGAAGCUGAGAGAUGGCAAUUAUGCUGAAAACAGACAAACCCAACAGCCUACCAGGAGCAUUACUUCAUUUUUUCCAGAAGACAUUCCAGGGUUGGAUGCCUAAAAUUGGGAAUUGGGCAUCCAUCUUGGCUUUAUUCUGAACCAUA
RNAcentral lists this long non-coding RNA (1357 nucleotides) under Saimiri boliviensis boliviensis (Bolivian squirrel monkey). Its description in RNAcentral is "lncRNA (ENSSBOG00000036483.1)". The record is from RNAcentral. Lineage: Eukaryota; Metazoa; Chordata; Mammalia; Primates; Cebidae.